RNAcentral lists this ribosomal RNA (253 nucleotides) under uncultured bacterium. Its description in RNAcentral is "partial 16S ribosomal RNA". It matches the Rfam family "Bacterial small subunit ribosomal RNA", at positions 524 to 776 of the family's 1533-position model. The record is from RNAcentral.
GACAGAGGGUGCAAACGUUGUUCGGAAUUACUGGGCGUAAAGCGUGCGCAGGCGGUUAUGCAAGACAGAUGUGAAAUCCCCGGGCUCAACCUGGGAACUGCAUUUGUGACUGCAUGGCUAGAGUGCGGCAGAGGGGGAUGGAAUUCCGCGUGUAGCAGUGAGAUGCGUAGAUAUGCGGAGGAACACCGAUGGCGAAGGCAAUCCCCUGGGCCUGCACUGACGCUCAUGCACGAAAGCGUGGGGAGCAAACAGG